Molecule: transfer RNA, 75 nt
Filed under: Clostridium beijerinckii
Lineage: Bacteria; Bacillati; Bacillota; Clostridia; Eubacteriales; Clostridiaceae
Description: tRNA-Asn
Rfam family: tRNA
About the family: Transfer RNA (tRNA) molecules are approximately 80 nucleotides in length. Their secondary structure includes four short double-helical elements and three loops (D, anti-codon, and T loops). Further hydrogen bonds mediate the characteristic L-shaped molecular structure. tRNAs have two regions of fundamental functional importance: the anti-codon, which is responsible for specific mRNA codon recognition, and the 3' end, to which the tRNAs corresponding amino acid is attached (by aminoacyl-tRNA synthetases). tRNAs cope with the degeneracy of the genetic code in two manners: having more than one tRNA (with a specific anti-codon) for a particular amino acid; and 'wobble' base-pairing, i.e. permitting non-standard base-pairing at the 3rd anti-codon position.
Source: RNAcentral
UCCGCGAUAGCUUAAUGGUGGAGCACUCGGCUGUUAACCGAUAGGUUGGAGGUUCGAGUCCUCUUCGCGGAGCCA